This 444-nucleotide ribosomal RNA is filed under the name uncultured bacterium. RNAcentral describes it as "bacterial SSU rRNA". It matches the Rfam family "Bacterial small subunit ribosomal RNA", at positions 330 to 792 of the family's 1533-position model. The record is from RNAcentral.
GCCAGACUCCUACGGGAGGCAGCAGUAGGGAAUCUUUCACAAUGGGCGAAAGCCUGAUGGAGCAACGCCGCGUGCAGGAUGAAGGCCUUCGGGUUGUAAACUGCUUUUAUAAGCGAGAAAUAUGAUGGUAACUUAUGAAUAAGCAUCGGCUAACUCCGUGCCAGCAGCCGCGGUAAUACGGAGGAUGCGAGCGUUAUCCGGAUUUAUUGGGUUUAAAGGGUGCGUAGGCGGCAUUAUAAGUUAGUGGUAAAAUAUUGGGGCUUCACCUCACUACGCCAUUAAUACUGUAGAGCUAGAGAACAGACGAGGUAGGCGGAAUAAGUUAAGUAGCGGUGAAAUGCAUAGAUAUAACUUAGAACUCCGAUAGCGAAGGCAGCUUACCAGACUGCGACUGACGCUGAAGCACGAGAGCGUGGGUAGCGAACAGGAUUAGAUACCCCUGUA